GACGAACGCUGGCGGCGUGCCUAAUACAUGCAAGUCGAGCGCAGGAAAUCGACGGAACCCUUCGGGGGAAAGUCGACGGAAUGAGCGGCGGACGGGUGAGUAACACGUAAAGAACCUGCCCUCAGGUCUGGGUUAACCACGAGAAAUCGGGGCUAAACCCGGAUGGGGCAUAGGACCGCAUGGUCCGAGGAUGAAAGGCGCUUCGGCCUCGCCUGAGGCUGGCUGUGCGGUGCCUUAGCUAGUUGGUGGGGUAAUGGCCCACCAAGGCGGACGAUGCAUAGCCGACCUGAGAGGGUGAUCGGCCACACUGGGACUGAGACACGGCCCAGACUCCUACGGGAGGCAGCAGUAGGGAAUCUUCCACAAUGGACGAAAGUCUGAUGGAGCAACGCCGCGUGAACGAUGAAGGCCUUCGGGUCGUAAAGUUCUGUUGUAAGGGAAGAACAAGUGCCGCAGGCAAUGGCGGCACCUUGACGGUACCUUGCGAGAAAGCCACGGCUAACUACGUGCCAGCAGCCGCCGUAA
This 525-nucleotide ribosomal RNA is filed under the name uncultured bacterium. RNAcentral describes it as "partial 16S ribosomal RNA". It matches the Rfam family "Bacterial small subunit ribosomal RNA", at positions 28 to 523 of the family's 1533-position model. The record is from RNAcentral.